CCAGCAGCUGCGGUAAUUCCAGCUCCAAUAGCGUAUAUUUCAGUUGUUGCAGUUAAAAAGCUCGUAGUUGGAUUUCGGGCGGGUGACGGCGGUCCGCCUCUGGUGUGCACUGCUGCUCAUCCGCCUUACUGUCGGGGACGGGCUCCUGGGCUUCACUGUCCGGGACCCGGGUUCGACAUGGUUACUUUGAGUAAAUUAGAGUGUUCAAAGCAAGCGUUCGCUAUGAAUACAUUAGCAUGGAAUAACAUGAUAGGACUCUGGCUUAUCUUGUUGGUCUGUAAGACCGGAGUAAUGAUUAAGAGGGACAGUCGGGGGCAUUCGUAUUUCAUUGUCAGAGGUGAAAUUCUUGGAUUUAUGAAAGACGAACUUCUGCGGAAGCAUUUGCCAAGGAUGUUUUCAUUAAUCAAGAACGAAAGU
This 417-nucleotide ribosomal RNA is filed under the name uncultured eukaryote. Its description in RNAcentral is "SSU rRNA". It matches the Rfam family "Eukaryotic small subunit ribosomal RNA", at positions 567 to 990 of the family's 1831-position model. The record is from RNAcentral.